RNAcentral lists this ribosomal RNA (253 nucleotides) under uncultured bacterium. Its description in RNAcentral is "partial 16S ribosomal RNA". It matches the Rfam family "Bacterial small subunit ribosomal RNA", at positions 524 to 776 of the family's 1533-position model. The record is from RNAcentral.
UACGGAGGGUGCGAGCGUUGUCCGGAAUCACUGGGCUUAAAGGGUGCGUAGGCGGGCCAUCAAGUCAGGGGUGAAAGCCCCCAGCUCAACUGGGGAAGUGCCUCUGAUACUGGUGGCCUCGAGCGAGGUAGGGGCGUGCGGAACUUCCGGUGGAGCGGUGAAAUGCGUAGAUAUCGGAAGGAACAUCGGUGGCGAAAGCGGCGCGCUGGACCUCUUCUGACGCUGAGGCGCGAAAGCCAGGGGAGCGAACGGG